This 464-nucleotide ribosomal RNA is filed under the name Vreelandella stevensii. Its description in RNAcentral is "partial 16S ribosomal RNA". It matches the Rfam family "Bacterial small subunit ribosomal RNA", at positions 338 to 794 of the family's 1533-position model. The record is from RNAcentral. Lineage: Bacteria; Pseudomonadati; Pseudomonadota; Gammaproteobacteria; Oceanospirillales; Halomonadaceae.
CCUACGGGUGGCUGCAGUGGGGAAUAUUGGACAAUGGGGGGAACCCUGAUCCAGCCAUGCCGCGUGUGUGAAGAAGGCCCUCGGGUUGUAAAGCACUUUCAGUGAGGAAGAACGCCUGGUGGUUAAUACCCAUCAGGAAAGACAUCACUCACAGAAGAAGCACCGGCUAACUCCGUGCCAGCAGCCGCGGUAAUACGGAGGGUGCGAGCGUUAAUCGGAAUUACUGGGCGUAAAGCGCGCGUAGGUGGCUUGAUAAGCCGGUUGUGAAAGCCCCGGGCUCAACCUGGGAACGGCAUCCGGAACUGUCAAGCUAGAGUGCAGGAGAGGAAGGGAGAAUUCCCGGUGUAGCGGUGAAAUGCGUAGAGAUCGGGAGGAAUACCAGGGGCGAAGGCGGCCUUCUGGACUGACACUGACACUGAGGUGCGAAAGCGUGGGUAGCAAACAGGAUUAGAUACCCCAGUAGU